GAUCAUGGCUCAGAUUGAACGCUGGCGGCAGGCCUAACACAUGCAAGUCGAACGGUAACAGGAAGCAAGCUUGCUGCUUCGCUGACGAGUGGCGGACGGGUGAGUAAUGUCUGGGAAGCUGCCUGAUGGAGGGGGAUAACUACUGGAAACGGUAGCUAAUACCGCAUAAUUGUCGCAAGACCAAAGAGGGGGGACCUUCGGGCCGUCUUGCCAUCGGAUGUGCCCAGAUGGGA
RNAcentral lists this ribosomal RNA (233 nucleotides) under uncultured bacterium. Its description in RNAcentral is "partial 16S ribosomal RNA". It matches the Rfam family "Bacterial small subunit ribosomal RNA", at positions 15 to 240 of the family's 1533-position model. The record is from RNAcentral.